RNAcentral lists this long non-coding RNA (205 nucleotides) under Homo sapiens (human). RNAcentral describes it as "non-protein coding lnc-REG3G-9:2". Lineage: Eukaryota; Metazoa; Chordata; Mammalia; Primates; Hominidae. The record is from RNAcentral.
AUGCCUCGGAAAAUUGAGGAAAUCAAGGAUUUUCUGCUCACAGUCCGAUGAAAGGAUGCCAAAUCCGUCAAGAUCAAGAAAAAUAAGGACAAUGUGAAGUUUAAAGUUUGACACAGCAAAUACCUUUACACCCUGGUCAUCACUGACAAAGAGAAGGCAGAUAAACUGUAGUCCCUGCCCCCUGGUUUGGCAGUGAAGGAACUAA